Molecule: ribosomal RNA, 254 nt
Filed under: uncultured bacterium
Lineage: Bacteria
Description: partial 16S ribosomal RNA
Rfam family: Bacterial small subunit ribosomal RNA
Source: RNAcentral
GACGAACCGUCCAAACGUUAUUCGGAAUCACUGGGCUUAAAGGGCGCGUAGGCGGCCGAGCGGGUCGCGGGUGAAAUCCUCCAGCUUAACUGGAGAACUGCCCUCGAUACCACUGCGGCUCGAGGAAGGAAGGGGUCAUGGGAACUGUCGGUGGAGCGGUGAAAUGCGUUGAUAUCGACAGGAACGCCGGUGGCGAAAGCGCAUGACUGGUCCUUUUCUGACGCUGAGGCGCGAAAGCCAGGGGAGCAAACGGG